This 440-nucleotide ribosomal RNA is filed under the name uncultured bacterium. RNAcentral describes it as "bacterial SSU rRNA". It matches the Rfam family "Bacterial small subunit ribosomal RNA", at positions 338 to 786 of the family's 1533-position model. The record is from RNAcentral.
CCUACGGGUGGCUGCAGUCGAGAAUCUUCGGCAAUGGGCGCAAGCCUGACCGAGCGACGCCGCGUGCGGGAUGAAGGCCCUUGGGUUGUAAACCGCUGUCAGAGGGGAGCAAGGCCUUCGGGCUUGAGCGAGCCUCAGAGGAAGCACGGGCUAAGUUCGUGCCAGCAGCCGCGGUAAUACGAACUGUGCGAACGUUAUUCGGAAUCACUGGGCUUACAGGGUGCGUAGGCGGCCUUCCAAGUCAGGUGUGAAAUCCCCCGGCUCAACCGGGGAAUGGCGCUUGAAACUGGUUGGCUUGAGUCAGCUAGAGGUACACGGAACUUCCGGUGGAGCGGUGAAAUGUGUUGAUAUCGGAAGGAACACCAGAGGCGAAAGCGGUGUACUGGAGCUGGUCUGACGCUGAGGCACGAAAGCCAGGGGAGCGAACGGGAUUAGAUACC